UGAAGAAUAUUGCACAAUGGGGGAAACCCUGAUGCAGCAACGCCGCGUGAAGGAUGAAGGUUUUCGGAUUGUAAACUUCUUUUGUCGAGGACGAAAAAAAUGACGGUACUCGACGAAUAAGCCACGGCUAACUACGUGCCAGCAGCCGCGGUAAUACGGGGGGUGCAAGCGUUGUCCGGAAUCAUUGGGCGUAAAGCGUUCGUAGGCGGUAUGUCAAGUCUGGUGUUAAAGCCCGAGGCUCAACCUCGGUUCGGCAUUGGAUACUGGCAAACUAGAAUGUGGUAGAGGUAAAGGGAAUUCCUGGUGUAGCGGUGAAAUGCGUAGAUAUCAGGAGCAACAUCGGUGGCGAAAGCGCUUUACUGGACCAUUAUUGACGCUGAGGAACGAAAGCCAGGGGAGCAAACA
This 405-nucleotide ribosomal RNA is filed under the name uncultured bacterium. RNAcentral describes it as "bacterial SSU rRNA". It matches the Rfam family "Bacterial small subunit ribosomal RNA", at positions 355 to 774 of the family's 1533-position model. The record is from RNAcentral.